Molecule: ribosomal RNA, 446 nt
Filed under: uncultured bacterium
Lineage: Bacteria
Description: bacterial SSU rRNA
Rfam family: Bacterial small subunit ribosomal RNA
Source: RNAcentral
GCCCAGACUCCUACGGGAGGCAGCAGUGGGGAAUAUUGCACAAUGGGGGAAACCCUGAUGCAGCGACGCCGCGUGAGCGAUGAAGUAUUUCGGUAUGUAAAGCUCUAUCAGCAGGGAAGAAGAUGACGGUACCUGACUAAGAAGCCCCGGCUAACUACGUGCCAGCAGCCGCGGUAAUGCGUAGGGGGCAAGCGUUAUCCGGAUUUACUGGGUGUAAAGGGAGCGUAGACGGCGAUGCAAGCCAGAUGUGAAAGCCCGGGGCUCAACCCCGGGACUGCAUUUGGAACUGUGUGGCUGGAGUGUCGGAGAGGCAGGCGGAAUUCCUAGUGUAGCGGUGAAAUGCGUAGAUAUUAGGAGGAACACCAGUGGCGAAGGCGGCCUGCUGGACGAUGACUGACGUUGAGGCUCGAAAGCGUGGGGAGCAAACAGGAUUAGAUACCCGUGUA